This 89-nucleotide transfer RNA is filed under the name Microbacterium terrae. RNAcentral's name for it is "tRNA-Ala". The record is from RNAcentral. Lineage: Bacteria; Bacillati; Actinomycetota; Actinomycetes; Micrococcales; Microbacteriaceae.
UCGUCAUCGUGGACCGGGCGGAUGCCGUCGCUCUCGCCAGGCGAGACGUCGAGAGCGAGGCGGCGCCGUUCGAUGCGGUGCUGACCGAC